UACGGAGGAUGCAAGCGUUAUCCGGAAUCAUUGGGUUUAAAGGGUCCGUAGGCGGACAAAUAAGUCAGUGGUGAAAGUCUGCAGCUCAACUGUAGAAUUGCCAUUGAUACUGUUAGUCUUGAAUCACUAUGAAGUAGUUAGAAUGUGUAGUGUAGCGGUGAAAUGCAUAGAUAUUACACAGAAUACCGAUUGCGAAGGCAGAUUACUAGUAGUGUAUUGACGCUGAUGGACGAAAGCGUGGGUAGCGAACAGG
RNAcentral lists this ribosomal RNA (253 nucleotides) under uncultured bacterium. RNAcentral describes it as "partial 16S ribosomal RNA". It matches the Rfam family "Bacterial small subunit ribosomal RNA", at positions 524 to 776 of the family's 1533-position model. The record is from RNAcentral.